This 22-nucleotide microRNA is filed under the name Eisenia fetida (common brandling worm). RNAcentral describes it as "Efe-Mir-2-P12g_5p* (star (passenger))". The record is from RNAcentral. Lineage: Eukaryota; Metazoa; Annelida; Clitellata; Crassiclitellata; Lumbricidae.
CAGUCCAGGUGGUUGAGAUGCG